AAGAACGCUGGCGGCAGGCCUAAGACAUGCAAGUCGUACGCGAACGACCUUUCGGGGUUAAGUAGAGUGGCGAACGGGUUAGUAACGCGUGGGAACAUACACAGCACAGGGGGAUAACCAUUGGAAACGAUGGCUAAUACCGCAUACGCCCUAUUGGGGAAAGAUUUAUCGGUGUUGGAUUGGCCCGCGUUAGAUUAGCUAGUUGGUGGGGUAAUGGCUCACCAAGGCGACGAUUUAUAGCUGGUUUGAGAGGAUGAUCAGCAACACUGGAACUGAGACACGGUCCAGACUCCUACGGGAGGCAGCAGUCGGGAAUAUUGUGCAAUGGGGGCAACCCUGACACAGCCAUGCCGCGUGAGUGAAGAAGGCCUUAGGGUUGUAAAGCUCUUUCAGAUGUGAGGAUGAUGACGAUAGCAUCAGAAGAAGCUCCGGCUAACUUCGUGCCAGCAGCCGCGGUAAUACGAAGGGAGCUAGCGUUGUUCGGAAUUACUGGGCGUAAAGGGCGUG
This 507-nucleotide ribosomal RNA is filed under the name uncultured bacterium. RNAcentral describes it as "bacterial SSU rRNA". It matches the Rfam family "Bacterial small subunit ribosomal RNA", at positions 29 to 571 of the family's 1533-position model. The record is from RNAcentral.